Molecule: non-coding RNA, 1329 nt
Organism: Odocoileus virginianus texanus
Lineage: Eukaryota; Metazoa; Chordata; Mammalia; Artiodactyla; Cervidae
Source: RefSeq, a predicted model, not a curated record
CCAGUUUCCUGGGAAGUGAUCAGAAAGACAAGGCAGGUGAAGAACACUGGGGAAAGGCCACUGAGUUUAAGGAGUGCCAUGAGAGAGAAAAAGUUUUGGCACUGGGGGCCCAUUUCUCCAAAUCUGGGUGGGAAUCCUGUUUCAAUGAAUCCUUUGAAGCAGAGGCAUCACUGGUCUCCAAAGUGGUAAACAAGAAAGCCUGAGUUCCAGGCAAAAUUCUUAUGUAAGGAGCCCUGCAUGUUGAAGAGAGGCAACCAGGGAUGCUGCCCAGCAGCUGCAGAUGACGUCACAGUAGGUCCUUUCUAUGGAAAAGUCUCCCAUUAUUGCAUGGCGCACAUUUCCUCAGUUACUAGCUCUGGCUUCCUUGUCUGCUUCUUUCACAGCUCCUUACUUGUCUUAUCAAUGCUCUCCUCCCAACAUCUUUCAGAAUCUUAAGUCCUGAGUAAAUAAAUAUUUAGGCUCAAUAAGAAGCUCCAACCCAAAGAAGGCUUCCAAACUGAGAUGACUUACUUGACAACUUUGAUUCGGAACCGCAGGUCUCCUGGCUCUCCAUCCACGUGAGGCUCACCUAGUCAGAAGAGAUUACCACACACUGUAUAAGGCUUCCUAAAAGCACUGUCUGGAAUUGGAAAAAAACUGGAAACAACCUACAUGCCUAUUGAUCCAAUGUGGUGGCAGUGAAAUUCUAUUCAGCAGAAUUAUAGCUGUAAACAACAACAUGGGUGAAUCCUGACAAUAUUAACAUGACUUCGAGAUCUACAAUAAUAUCACUUCCUCUUGGAAUAUUUCUGUCUUGCUGACGAGGGGUUCCUCCGAACAUGAAACCAAAAUCUCCAAAGAAGCUAUUGGAUGAAGAGGCAGCUCUGGGUAUAGGAGCAGGAAUUUCUCUCUCUUACAAGAAUCACCUUGCUCACUAAGUGGUUUGCAGAUCUGAAGACAGCGAGGAGACAAAAUGAACUGGUUUCCAAUAUAUAUCACCCCCAACAUAGUCGGGAUUGAUUCAACUGAUAUGGUUGGCUAGGUGGACAUCCUUAAAUCCAUUUGUGGAAGAGUGCUGUCUGGCACAUACAGUUCAUAACCUCCCGAGUCUGAACUGCAAAGAGUGAAAAGGUACACUGCUCUAUGAAGGAUGCUCGAGCUCAAUUUGACAACUUGAGAAAGGACUUCCUUUUUUUUUUUUUUUGAGAAAAGACUUUCUAAAGUUUUAAUGGUUUUAGAAAACUAUAUGCUCAGUCAUAAGUAUAUGCUUUCUCACUGGGACCAUUUCAUAUCUAGAAUAAAGAAUGUAAAACAAAAUAAACUUCAGUGUUAGUCAAAAUUUGCCUUCCA